RNAcentral lists this non-coding RNA (21 nucleotides) under Arabidopsis thaliana (thale cress). Lineage: Eukaryota; Viridiplantae; Streptophyta; Magnoliopsida; Brassicales; Brassicaceae. The record is from RNAcentral.
UGGGCUAGACCUUAGUGACGA